This 406-nucleotide unclassified non-coding RNA is filed under the name soil metagenome. Its description in RNAcentral is "partial contains 5.8S ribosomal RNA, internal transcribed spacer 2, and large subunit ribosomal RNA". The stretch from base 1 to 121 matches the Rfam family "5.8S ribosomal RNA", at positions 35 to 154 of the family's 154-position model. The record is from RNAcentral.
GAUGAAGAACGUAGCUAAAUGCGAUAAGUAAUGUGAAUUGCAGAAUUCAGUGAAUCAUCGAAUCUUUGAACGCACCUUGCGCCCUUUGGCCAUUCCGAAGGGCAUGCCUGUUUGAGUAUCAUGAACACCUCAACUCUUCAUGGUUUUCCGUGAUGAGCUUGGACUUUGGGGGUCUUGCUGGCCUAUGGUCAGCUCCUCUAAAAUAAAUCAGCUUGCCAGUGUUUGGUGGGUAUCACAGGUGUGAUAACUAUCUACGAUUGUGGUUUUCCACCAGGUAACCUUCAGCAGUGGAGGUUCGCUGGAGCUCACAGAUGUGUCUCUCCUCAGUGAGGACAGCUCUUUGAAUGUUUGAUCUCAAAUCAGGUAGGACUACCCGCUGAACUUAAGCAUAUCAAUAAGCGGAGGA